RNAcentral lists this ribosomal RNA (803 nucleotides) under uncultured bacterium. RNAcentral describes it as "bacterial SSU rRNA". It matches the Rfam family "Bacterial small subunit ribosomal RNA", at positions 8 to 775 of the family's 1533-position model. The record is from RNAcentral.
AGAGUUUGAUCCUGGCUCAGGAUGAACGCUGGCGGCGUGCCUAAUACAUGCAAGUCGAACGAACAAGAUUAGCUAAGCUUGCUUAGCAAAUUGCGUUAGUGGCGAACGGGUGAGUAAUACAUAAAUAACCUGCCCCUAUGUUUGGAAUAACAGUUGGAAACGACUGCUAAUGCCAGAUACGUUAUCAAGUGGCAUCACAUGAUAAUAAAAGAUCCUACUGGGAUCGCAAAGGGAUGGAUUUAUGGCGCAUUAGUUAGUUGGUGAGGUAACGGCUCACCAAGACGAUGAUGCGUAGCCGGCCUGAGAGGGUGACCGGCCACACUGGGACUGAGACACGGCCCAGACUCCUACGGGAGGCAGCAGUAGGGAAUUUUCGGCAAUGGGGGAAACCCUGACCGAGCGACGCCGCGUGAGUGAAGACGGCCUUCGGGUUGUAAAGCUCUGUUGUAAGGGAAGAACCGUAGUGAUAGGAAAUGAUCACUACCUGACGGUACCUUACCUAGAAAGCCACGGCUAACUACGUGCCAGCAGCCGCGGUAAUACGUAGGUGGCGAGCGUUAUCCGGAAUUAUUGGGCGUAAAAGGGAGCGCAGGCGGUUUAUUUAAGUCUGAGGUUAAAGUUCCGGGGCUCACCCCCGUGAUGCCUUAAAAACUGGUAAACUAGAGUGCAGGAAAAGGUAGUGGGAUUUCCUUGUGUAGCCGGUAAAAGGCCUAAAUAUAUGGAAGGAACACCCGUGGCCAAAAGGCGGCUAACUGGGCCUGGACCUGACCCCUGAGGCCCCAAAAGCCGGGGGGAACAAAAGG